UACGGAGGGCGCAAGCGUUGUUCGGAAUUACUGGGCGUAAAGCGCGUGUAGGCGGUCUGGUAAGUCGGUUGUGAAAUCCCCGGGCUCAACCCGGGAACUGCAUCCGAAACUGCUGGGCUAGAGUUUCGGAGAGGAAGGCAGAAUUCCCAAUGUAGGGGUGAAAUCCGUAGAUAUUGGGAGGAAUACCAGUGGCGAAGGCGGCCUUCUGGACGGUAACUGACGCUGAGACGCGAAAGCGUGGGGAGCAAACAGG
RNAcentral lists this ribosomal RNA (253 nucleotides) under uncultured bacterium. RNAcentral describes it as "partial 16S ribosomal RNA". It matches the Rfam family "Bacterial small subunit ribosomal RNA", at positions 524 to 776 of the family's 1533-position model. The record is from RNAcentral.